CUGAAACGCAAACUGGCGGAAGGUUCACUGAUCUAGGAUGUUUUCUCCUGGGCACAUUCAUCUGCUUGUGGGAGGAACGCCUAAAGAGAGUAUGAGAACAACUCCAGUAAGCACAUGGCGCCUCCGCGCCCUCAUGAGGUGGUGACAGGCCACUGUGCUAGUGAACAGCCCCUUCUUCCCCGCCAAGGGAUGCAUCAGAGGACACGCAGCGAUGCUGCCGACGCUGGAGACCCUGAGUCCAAGGUCCUGUCCUGUACUCCACCUCUCAGGUCACCGCCCACCUGGGCCUCUUCCAAGCCUCCUUGACUUUCUUUGGCUCCUGCCACAAUACCAUUUCAGGAACUUUCACCCCUGCUCUAAUGCGUGUCUUGGUCUCUCACUCUACCGUGUGCCACUCGAUGUCUUUCUUCUCAGGAGGCAGGAACUGAGGUUGCCACAGGCCCAUACGCGUCUGCCGCCGCUCACGGGUCUGCUGCCAAACGUGGAAUCUUGCCCAACGUGUCCUCUGCCAGACAUGCCAUCCCUUCAGAUGCUUCUUUUGCAGGCCACGCACUUGCAAGCUUCCUAUGAUUUCCUUCCCACCGCUGUGCCAUUGGCUGCAAUUUUUCUGCUGUCCACCAUGGCAACCUUCUCACGUGUUCCUUCUGCCACACAUGCAAUCUCCCUAAGUGUCUCUUCUCCCCAACACUCCGCUCUGUGCCUUGUUCCCCUUGCCAAGCAUCCCAUCUUCUCAGGUGUUUCUCCUGCCACACAUGCAAUCUUCCUAAGCGUCUCUUCUCCCCAACACUCCGCUCUGUGCCUUGUUCCCCUUGCCAAGCAUCCCAUCUUCUCAGGUGUUUCUCCUGCCACAUAUUUAAUCGUCUUCACAUGUUGCCUCCCCAGGCUUUGCAUCCUUCCCAGCUCAUCCUCCCUCCCACCCCGCAAUCCUCUCAGAUGCUACCACCGCCCACCGGGCAAUCUCCAGAGGCACUCCUUCUGCUGUCUGUACAACGUUCUUAGCUCUUCCUUCUGCCCAGUGUGCAAUCUUCCCAGAUGGGCCUUCUGCCACACAUUCACAUCUGAUCUGGUAGGUGUUUCUCCUGCCAAACCUUCAUCCUUCUCGGAUGCUCUUCUGCCACAUUUGCAAUCCUGUCAGACGUUCCUGCCACUCGAGGUAGCUGGUCUGAUGUGAGCAUGGAACCAGGGGGGCCCCCUACCACCACCAGGAAUGUCAGGUGACCACGAGGUGACGGUUGGGCGGUUCUUGAACCCUAUGUAUGGAGGAUAACCGCUCACGGCCGGCCGGCACCAAGGAAGGGCAGGCUCCCAAUGGACGGAAGCACUGGAAGGUGGACAUCAGCAGCCUCCCUGUCAGAUCCCAGGAGUCGGGCACAUGGGCUAACGCGGGACACCCUGACAGCCACACCGGCAGGCUUGAGCAGCUCAGUCUCUUUCCUCCGAGAUCAGUCGACGGGUAGGGGAAGAACGCCUCAAGUGAGCAUGCCUAAGACUCUAGGAACCACACUGUGCCUGCAACGCCCCCCGCCCACGGUCUGACAGGCCGUGGUGCCAGUCGGCAGCCCCACCCAAAGGAAGGAUCGGCAGAGAGGCAACAACGCCACCCCGGAAGCCUGCUAAUGGAGGAGAUCCAGAAUCGAAGGUCAAACCCUGCACUCCAUCCCUCAGGUUGCCCGCUUCGCCCUCUUCCAACUGCAUCUCGCUUCCUUUCCUUCCUGCUCCAAAGUGCUGAAGCACCUUUCACUCCUGCUCUUCACUGUGCCUUCCACUUACGCCCCAGGACCAACUUCUCAGGGGGCUUUUGGGGCAGUCUGUACCAACCCCUGCAUAGGACCUCGUUCUGUGGCCCGUUAGGGACCCCACCUUCAUGCUCAUUUCCAGUCAGUGCCCCUCUGGGAACAGGGAAGACUCUUCCUUCAAUCCGGCUGUGUUUUUGCCCCAGGCCACGAGUGCUCCAGAGGUGACUACCUUAUGUCAGGUUGGCAUUGAACGUGGCCCUCUUGAGUCCGAGGGCAGCUCUUUUGGCGAGUGCAGCAAGGCUUUCCAUGAGUCUUCCUCUCUCGCUUCCUCCCACUUCUGCCUGUAGCCUCGAUUUCUCUACUCGUGGCCACGCCCUUCUCCAGAUGCUUCCAAGCCUUCCAGGUCCACUCUGAAGGGAGAAAUUUCCAGCCCCUUCCCGGCAGCUAGCUGAAAAACAGGCUCCUCGUCUACUGUGAGAACCUGGGAAGCCGGAAUCAGACAGUGGAGAUCAUCAUUGUCUUGCUGGAAUGCUCUCAGGCACAGUCACUCUCAUUUCACAGAGACAAGGACAGAGGCCGGACCAAGGCCACAGGCGCAACAGACCCAUAGCACCCAGACCAAAACUGAUCUCUGGCUAACACACGGCCAUUAGAGCAGGGAGGAAGGCAAGGGCAGGGGUACAUGGUAACACUGCUUCAUUCUGGGACCCUGGGGAUGAACGGGGCUCCCCUGCCCACCUGGGCCUCUUCCAAGCCUCCUUGACUUCCUUUGGCUCCUGCCACCAUACCGUUUCAGGAACUUUCGCCUCUGCUCUUAUGCGUGCCUCGGUCUCUCCCUCUGCCUUGUGCCCCUCGGUUGAUGACUUUCUUCUCAGGAGGCAGGAACCGAGACUGCCGCAGGCCCAUACGCAUCUGCCUCCGCUCAUGGGCCCACUGCCAAACGUGGAAUCUUGCCCGACGUGUCCUCUCCCAGACAUGCCACGUCUUCAGAUGCUUCUUCAGCAAGCCAUGCACUUCCAUGCUUCCUACGUUUUCCUCCCCACUGCCGUGCCAUCGGCUGCAACGUUUCUGCUGUCCGCCAUUCACCCUUCUCAUGUGUACCUUUGGCCACACGUGCAAUCUACCUAAGCAUCCCUUCUCCCAAACACUCCACUCUGUCCCUUGUUUCCCCUGGCAAGCAUCCCAUCUUCUCAGGUGUUUCUCCUGCCACAUAUUUAAUCGUCUUCAUGUGUUACCUCCCCAGGCCUUGCAUCCUUCCCAGCUCAUCCUCCCGCCCACCCCGCAAUCCUGUCAGAUGCUACCGCCACCCCACCGGGCAAUCUCCCGAGGCGCUCCUUCUGCUGUCCGUCCAACGUUCUCAGGUCUUCCUUCUUCCCAGUGUGCAAUCUUCCUGGAUGGGCCUUCUGCCACAUGUUCACGUCUGAUCUGGCAGGUGUUUCUUCUGCCAAAUAUGCAAUCCUGUCAGACGUUCCUGUCACUCACGGUAGCUGGUCUGACGUGAGCAUGGUACCAGGGGUUCUCCCUACCUCCAUCAGGAAUGUCAGACGACCAUGAGGUGACUGUCGCGUGGUUCUUGAACCCUAUCUAUGGAGGAAAACCGCUCACGGCCAGCCAGUGCCAAGGAAGGGCAGGCUCCCAAUGGACGGAAGCGCAGGAAGGUGGACAUCAGCAGCCUCCAAGAUCCCAGGAGUCAGGCAUGUGGGCUCACACAGGACCCCCUGACAGCCACACUGGCGGGGUUGAGCAGCUCUGUCCCCUUCCUCUGGGAACACUCGACGGGUAGAGGAUGUACACCUCAAGUGAGCACACCUAAGCCUCCAGGUAUGGCAUUGAGGCUGUCACACCCCCCACCCACAAGCUGACAGGCCGCGACGCCAGUCAACAGCCCCACCCAAGGGAAGGAUCAGUGGAGACGCAACAAUGCCACCCCCAAAACCUGCCAAUGGAGGAGACCCCAAGUUGAAGGUCAAACCCUGCACUCUGUCCCUUAGGUUGCCCGCUUCGCCCUCUUCCAACUGUAUCUUGCUUGCUUUCCUUCCUGCUCCAAAGUGUUGAAGCAGCUUUCACUCCUGCUCUUCACCCUGCCUUCCUCUUACGCCCCAGGGCCAACUUCUUAGGGGGCUUUUGGGGCAGUCUGUCCCGCCACCUGCAUAGGGCCUCGUUCUGUGGCUCUUUGGGACCCCAUCUACUUGCUCAUUUCCAGUCAGCACCCCUCUGGGAAGAGCAAAGAUUCUUCCUUCACGCCAGGUGCGUUUUCACCCCAAGCCACAAGUGCUCCAGAGGUUACUACCUUUCUUCAGGUAGGCAUUAAACAUGGCCCUCUCGAGUGCGAGGGCCGCUCUUUUGGCGAGCGCAACAAGGCUUUCCAUGAGUCUUCCUCUCUCGCUUCCUCCUGCUUCAGUCUGUAGCCUGUUUCUCUACUCCCAGCCGCGCCCUUCUCCAGAUGCUUUCAGACCUUCUAGGUCCUAUCUGAAGGGAGAAAUUUCCAGCUCCCUUGCAGCAGCUAGCUGAAAAACAGGCUCCUCAUCUAGUGUGAAAAUCUAGGAAACAGGAAUCAGACAGCGGAGAUCAUCACUGUCUUGCUGGAAUGCUCUCAGCCACAGUCACUCUCAUGUCACGGACACAAGGACAGAGACCGGACCAAGGCCGCAGGCGCAACAGAUCCAUAGCACCGAGACAAAGGCUGAUCCCAGGCUAACACACGACCGUUAGAGCAGGGAUGUAGGCAAGGCCAGGGGUACACGGUAACACCGGUUCAUUCCGGGCUCCCAGGGAUGAACAGGCCUCCCCCGAUCCCAUUCACUCCAGCACCUCCUCUCUUCUCCAGUGGGUGAUCAUGACAAGAUGGGAACGGGGUUAGCGGGGACACAGUAAGGCCAAUACUUCCCGGAGCCCUAAGGCCAAAUUGGGGACGCCGUAUUCAGGAUCCUAGGAAAGUUAAGAGAGCCCAAGCACGUUGGAGAAGGUCCUUGUAAGCUGCCAGAAACAUUCUCAAAAGGGGACCCGGGAAACAAAUGCCAUGCGGUUUGAAAGGUUGUUAGGUCUGUUAAACGCUUCCACAAUGGACGCUUUACCAGAGGCCGGUCGGGAGUAUUUGCUUACGUGUCAUCUCUGACUGCUUUCACGCUGCUACAGCAUGAACGGCGACCAUGAUACCUAUGAGUGUUUUCCACCUGGCCCUUUACAGGAAGAGCUAGCCAAUCCCUGCAUCGUGCCAUGACCAGAAUGCCCUAAUACUGACUGCUCAUCUUCUGACUCCCCUGCUCAAAAGCUUCCCAUGAAUCUCUGCAGGAAACCUGGUUGGCUCCCUAUCCAUGGCCAUUGUUUCUUCUCACUGGAGAAACACAAUUUUAUUUGGAUCUUUAUCAUUUCCCCAGAUCCAAAAGUAGAAAUAAUCAUUCUAAGCUCAUCAUAGGAAUCAUCAUGUAUUCACAAACCUCAUUCGUUAUAACAUGCCAGUAAAGGAAAAAUAUAACUCACUUACUUAAAUUGUUAUUUAUUCAAAAAUAUUUUUUAAAAUUGUAGGCAACAAAAUUCAAUAAAGGAUUGUUUUUAAGACAAUAGGUUUUGAGAUUAUAAACUAUCUACAAACUAAAUUCUUAACUGUGAAUACUAAACUAUUCAAAGAAAAAAUUUUAUAUAAAUACAAACAUAUUUACACACACAUGCACAGCCACACAGACAUACCAUUGACACACUAAAUUUCUUUUUUGUGAUCGAAACUCAAUAAUCUUAUGCUAGCACCA
RNAcentral lists this long non-coding RNA (5482 nucleotides) under Pan troglodytes (chimpanzee). Its description in RNAcentral is "long non-coding RNA NONPTRT017074". Lineage: Eukaryota; Metazoa; Chordata; Mammalia; Primates; Hominidae. The record is from RNAcentral.